This 17-nucleotide microRNA is filed under the name Corchorus olitorius. RNAcentral's name for it is "hsa-miR-12". The record is from RNAcentral. Lineage: Eukaryota; Viridiplantae; Streptophyta; Magnoliopsida; Malvales; Malvaceae.
UCCUAUUUCUUCUUUCU